UAUUCUUCCUAUUCGGGAAGGAUGAGAAGCUUCGACCAAGGUUCGAUUCGAGCGUUAGCGAGAAAGCGUUGCCGUAGGCAACGACCCGAAGGGCGAAGCGCGCAGCGCUGAGUAAUCCUUCCCCCACCACCA
Molecule: small RNA, 132 nt
Filed under: Citrobacter freundii
Lineage: Bacteria; Pseudomonadati; Pseudomonadota; Gammaproteobacteria; Enterobacterales; Enterobacteriaceae
Also listed under: 4 other names
Description: RtT sRNA
Rfam family: RtT RNA
About the family: This family represents a bacterial cis-regulatory element known as RtT RNA.
Source: RNAcentral